Molecule: unclassified non-coding RNA, 307 nt
Organism: Pteropus vampyrus (large flying fox)
Lineage: Eukaryota; Metazoa; Chordata; Mammalia; Chiroptera; Pteropodidae
Gene: 7SK
Rfam family: 7SK RNA
About the family: 7SK was discovered as an abundant small nuclear RNA in the mid-70s but a possible function has only recently been suggested.
Source: Ensembl
GGAUGUGAGGGCGAUCUGGCUGCAACAUCUGUCACCCCAUUGAUUGCCAGGGUUGAUCUGGCUAAUCUGGCUGGCUAGGCGGGUGUCCCCUUCCUCCCUCACCACUCCAUGUGCGUCCCUCCCGCAGCUGCGUGCUCGGUCAAAGAGGACAACCUUCCUUGAUAGAGGAGAGGACCAUUCUUCAGUCAAGGGUAUACAAGUAGCUGCGCUCCCCUGCUAGAACCUCCAAACAAGCUCUCAAGGAAUAAUCUGGCAGAUUUGAAAAAGAACAACGACAACUUUUUGCAGUGAAAUGUAAUGACUGAAA